UGGAUGACUGAUUAGAAGUGACUCAUUGACAGCAUGAGAAUACAAAAGAAGAUUUGUUGAAGAAUGUUUCCACAUGUUUCCAUGUUUGUUUGCCAUGCUGCUCUUCUUAUUGUGCUCCUGCUUCCAGUCAGGUGACUGAUCACCUGACAGGCCAACCAAAAAUUCUUAAAGACAUGCAUACACUAAAAUGGUUAAGAUGCAUAAAAUGGACAUAAGAACAAGUAAACCACUUAAAACUCUAUAAUACAUAAAAUCACUGUAAUAAAUAGAGCGGUUAAAACAUUUCCCUUGUGUGACAGUAUCACAUAGUCUCCCUCCUUUGCUUACGGCACCUCGGGGAAAAAAAUAGACUCUUAAAGGAGCCGUAUGUAGGAUUCUGGCCUAAACUGGUAUUGCAAUCACUAUAAAAAUACUGUAGAGCGGUGUAUCCCCUCCCCCUACCCCCUGACUCAAGGUUGCCAGAUGAGCUGCAUCCAAGUGACGAACAGACGUACACAGUAAGUUUUUUUUCUGUUAAUUAUGUUUAUGCUUCAUGAGAGAUAUUUUGAUAAGUAAUUAUGUAUUUAAAAAAUGUACUAAUUGUCAUUAGUUAAAUAUAAUUGUAAAGAUUUAUGCUCGUAUGUGACAGUAUAAUCGUAAAGAUGUAUGCUCGUAUGUGACAGUAUAAUCGUAAAGAUUUAUGCUCGUAUGUGACAGUAUAAUCGUAAAGAUUUAUGCUCGUAUGUGACAGUAUAAUCGUAAAGAUUUAUGCUCAUACGUGACAGACAGAACGAUAACUGUUAGUCUAGGCUACUGUCUCAAU
This is a long non-coding RNA of Cyprinus carpio carpio, 802 nucleotides long. NCBI's taxonomy places the organism in Eukaryota, Metazoa, Chordata, Actinopteri, Cypriniformes, Cyprinidae. The record is from Ensembl.